UUAAAUUCUUUUCUUAAUAAUUCGCGAAAUAUUCCCGCAAUACGAACAAGAAUUAGUUCAAAAUGAAGAAAAAAAUAAAAACUUUUUUAGUUACAAAAAAUGUACACUCUGUAUACAAUGGGUCAUUCCUGACCCAGAGGUAAACUUCGGAAUUAUUCUAGUCAAAAGAUACGCAUGAAUUGAGGCCGGCAACGCACAAAACAUGUUCUCUAGAUGCCAAACUUUUUUUAGAAAUAGAAGAAAAACCUGUACUUAAUUAGGUACUCUCAGUAUUUCAAAGAAAAAAAAUACACAGGACACGAAUGACACAAAGCAAAAUAGAUACAUCAAGAUAUGAAGAGAUUUAACUGACUCGAAUGAAAACUAUUUUGCUAUUGAAAAGCAAGGAUCUUGCCGAAGACAAAAAAAAACAACAAAGAGCAGCUGCAAAUUCGGCAUGAUCCGUGGCAAAAGUAAAAUCUAUUCAAAAACGUUAGAUGGGGUGGAGGCAUGGAAGCUGAUCAACCAUCUCUUCAGAGGCUCUUUAGGAGCACCUUGUCAUCAUCGAGAGUACCCGAAUUAGACGUCGUAAGAGCUUUACAUCAAAGACCCAAUAACAGAUUCUGGCCUUAAGCAGUUUUGUCAAAACAAGAGCAGGAUGUCCAGCAAUCUUCGAAUGUCUUUGAAUCCUAGAAUUAUCUUGGAAUUUUUAAUAUAUCCUCAAAAACUGAAACCCCCUGCAAUGUCAGGACUAACCUGGAAUUUUUGUCAUUCUUUUAUUAAAAAAAGAGGAUCAUGAAAAAAGAAAAAAAUAAGAAAUAUUUCCCGCGCGUGCACAGGAACUAUGUUAACGACGUCUUUUGUGAUCAGAUUAGAUCAGAUUAGAUGAAGCUUUGAAAACAUAUGCAGAUAUUGAAAAUUAAAUUAAUAAUUUAAUGAAGCAUUAAUAAAUUAAUUUUGAAGUAAUGUUUGUGAUAUGUUAAAAAGAAAAGUUAUGUUUGGAUAUAAUAUCCAUUAAAGAUGCAAUAAGAUAAGU
Long non-coding RNA from Acromyrmex echinatior (Panamanian leafcutter ant), 1015 nucleotides. The record is from RefSeq and is a predicted model, not a curated record. Lineage: Eukaryota; Metazoa; Arthropoda; Insecta; Hymenoptera; Formicidae.